This 454-nucleotide ribosomal RNA is filed under the name uncultured bacterium. RNAcentral's name for it is "bacterial SSU rRNA". It matches the Rfam family "Bacterial small subunit ribosomal RNA", at positions 340 to 786 of the family's 1533-position model. The record is from RNAcentral.
UACGGGAGGCAGCAGUGGGGAAUAUUGCACAAUGGGCGCAAGCCUGAUGCAGCCAUGCCGCGUGUAUGAAGAAGGCCUUCGGGUUGUAAAGUACUUUCAGUCGUGAGGAAGGUGUUAAGGUUAAUAACCUUAGCAAUUGACGUUAGCGACAGAAGAAGCACCGGCUAACUCCGUGCCAGCAGCCGCGGUAAUACGGAGGGUGCGAGCGUUAAUCGGAAUUACUGGGCGUAAAGGGCACGCAGGCGGUUAAUUAAGUUGGAUGUGAAAUCCCCGGGCUUAACCUGGGAAUGGCAUUCAAGACUGGUUAGCUAGAGUCUUGUAGAGGGGGUAGAAUUCCAUGUGUAGCGGUGAAAUGCGUAGAGAUGUGGAGGAAUACCGGUGGCGAAGGCGGCCCCUGGACAAAGACUGACGCUCAUGUGCGAAAGCGUGGGGAGCGAAACAGGGAUUACAUACC